Molecule: long non-coding RNA, 579 nt
Filed under: Cicer arietinum (chickpea)
Lineage: Eukaryota; Viridiplantae; Streptophyta; Magnoliopsida; Fabales; Fabaceae
Description: long non-coding RNA (CARI_LNC000017)
Source: RNAcentral
CUCAUUAAAAACCUUAAUGUAGGUACUAAAAUGCAACCAGUAAGCAUUAGGAACUAAUAACAGGACCAAACGAUUCAUUAAACACCGCAGGUGCAAAAAGGGAUAGCAGACAAAAGAUUGGGAGAAGAAAACUGGAGUACGAUAGGCAAAACUAUGCAGCAGGUUGCUCCUCGGUUGCAGAGGCUUCUUUCUGGGGUUCGUCUGCAGGGCCAUUAGAGGUGGCAUCCUUUGGUUGUGAUGCUGAUGCACCUUCAGCUGUAGAACCGGUUGCUUUAGAUGAUGUUUCUUUUCCAUCCUUACCAUCUUUGGCAUCUUUAGCAGGAGCAGGUGGUGGAGGAAUCAUGUGAGGUGGUGGUGUAUGCUUCAGCUUUAACAGUAUUUGGCGCAUCCUGGAAAGAUCUGUGGGUUUGCCAGGCUUUGGGCCUUGGAUAACAUUAAUUGAUGGCUUCUUCUCCUGAUCUUUUUUGCCUCUCUUCUUUUCAAUGUUGGCAACCUCACGAGGAAUGAGCUCUGCAAUUGUCUUCCAGUAAGCUUUGUCUGCCUCUUUGUGAAACUUCUCUUGAUUAGCCAAGAAUAACU